Molecule: ribosomal RNA, 253 nt
Filed under: uncultured bacterium
Lineage: Bacteria
Description: partial 16S ribosomal RNA
Rfam family: Bacterial small subunit ribosomal RNA
Source: RNAcentral
GACGUAGGGGGCGAGCGUUGUCCGGAAUUAUUGGGCGUAAAGAGCUCGUAGGCGGUUUGUUGCGUCUAUCGUGAAAACCUGCAGCUUAACUGUGGGCUUGCGGUGGAUACGGGCAGACUUGAGUUCGGUAGGGGAGACUGGAAUUCCUGGUGUAGCGGUGAAAUGCGCAGAUAUCAGGAGGAACACCGGUGGCGAAGGCGGGUCUCUGGGCCGAAACUGACGCUGAGGAGCGAAAGCGUGGGGAGCAAACAGG